RNAcentral lists this ribosomal RNA (487 nucleotides) under uncultured bacterium. Its description in RNAcentral is "partial 16S ribosomal RNA". It matches the Rfam family "Bacterial small subunit ribosomal RNA", at positions 28 to 507 of the family's 1533-position model. The record is from RNAcentral.
GAUGAACGCUCGCGAUAGGCUUAACACAUGCAAGUCGAGGGGCAGCACAAGGUAGCUUGCUAUCUGGGUGGCGACCGGCGCACGGGUGCGUAACGCGUAUGCAACUUGCCCUAUACAGGAGGAUAACCCGUCGAAAGACGGACUAAUACUGCGUAUGCUCACAACUUGGCAUCAAGUGGUGAGGAAAGAAAUUCGGUAUAGGAUAGGCAUGCGUCCCAUUAGCUUGUUGGUGAGGUAACGGCUCACCAAGGCAACGAUGGGUAGGGGAACUGAGAGGUUUAUCCCCCACACUGGUACUGAGACACGGACCAGACUCCUACGGGAGGCAGCAGUGAGGAAUAUUGGUCAAUGGGCGCGAGCCUGAACCAGCCAAGUCGCGUGAAGGAGGACUGUCUUAUGGAUUGUAAACUUCUUUUAUACGGGAAUAACAAGAGUCACGGGUGACUCCCUGCAUGUACCGUAUGAAUAAGCAUCGGCUAACUCCGUG